Molecule: long non-coding RNA, 277 nt
Filed under: Olea europaea (common olive)
Lineage: Eukaryota; Viridiplantae; Streptophyta; Magnoliopsida; Lamiales; Oleaceae
Description: long non-coding RNA (OEUR_LNC009227)
Source: RNAcentral
AAAAUUUUGAAACUUAGCCAAACGAGAAAAUGAGAAUCAAAAGUGCCGGCCGUUAGUAGGAAGUCAAGCCGAACACUCACCCUAGCCUAAGUAGCCUUCCUUCAACUGAGGGUCGCGCCGAUGAUGUGUUCUAGCCUUCAGCAACCGCUGGACCUUUGACCCGGCGACCAACAAGAGCUUAGCCGGCACGGUGGACAUCUCCUCAAGCUGCUUCAAUGCUUGCCUAGUCACCGCCAAUCUGUCGCCACAAAAUCUCAAGCCCAGGCACAUCGAAGCA